UCGGGAAUUUUGGGCAAUGGGCGAAAGCCUGACCCAGCAACGCCGCGUGAGGGAUGAAGUAUUUCGGUAUGUAAACCUCGAAAGAAUGGGAAGAAUAAAUGACGGUACCAUUUAUAAGCUCCGGCUAACUACGUGCCAGCAGCCGCGGUCAUACGUAGGGAGCAAGCGUUGUUCGGAUUUACUGGGCGUAACGGGCGCGUAGGCGGCGCGGUAAGUCACGUGUGAAAUCUCUGAGCUUAACUCAGAACGGCCAAGUGAUACUGCUGUGCUAGAGGGCGGAAGAGGCAACCGGAAUUCUUGGUGUAGCGGUGAAAUGCGUAGAUAUCAAGAGGAACACCUGAGGCGAAGGCGGGUUGCUGGGCCGACACUGACGCUGAUGCGCGAAAGCCAGGG
This 393-nucleotide ribosomal RNA is filed under the name uncultured bacterium. RNAcentral's name for it is "bacterial SSU rRNA". It matches the Rfam family "Bacterial small subunit ribosomal RNA", at positions 355 to 765 of the family's 1533-position model. The record is from RNAcentral.